AUAUUGUCCAAUAACUUGUUAGGUUACUGUACAUAGAAAGGUAUGUAAUAUCUUGACAUACAAUGUUCCUGACAUCCAUAUGGUAGAUUGGAAACAAGAACAGUAAUUUAACAAUACGUGGCAGAUUCCAUAUCCCAUGCAUUAGAUUAGAUGUAUUGUAGUAUAUCCAUACAAUCUUGUAAAUCAGCAUUCUUGUUUACAGAAAUACAUUAUUUUCUCUUAAUC
Molecule: non-coding RNA, 225 nt
Organism: Paramuricea clavata
Lineage: Eukaryota; Metazoa; Cnidaria; Anthozoa; Malacalcyonacea; Plexauridae
Source: the annotation of a GenBank genome assembly